This 212-nucleotide ribosomal RNA is filed under the name uncultured bacterium. RNAcentral's name for it is "partial 16S ribosomal RNA". It matches the Rfam family "Bacterial small subunit ribosomal RNA", at positions 568 to 779 of the family's 1533-position model. The record is from RNAcentral.
CGCGUAGGCGGCGCGGUAAGUCACUUGUGAAAUCUCUGAGCUUAACUCAGAACGGCCAAGUGAUACUGCAGUGCUAGAGUGUGGAAGGGGCAAUCGGAAUUCUUGGUGUAGCGGUGAAAUGCGUAGAUAUCAAGAGGAACACCUGAGGUGAAGACGGGUUGCUGGGCCAACACUGACGCUGAGGCGCGAAAGCCGAAGGGGGAGACGAAACG